Molecule: ribosomal RNA, 465 nt
Filed under: Vreelandella stevensii
Lineage: Bacteria; Pseudomonadati; Pseudomonadota; Gammaproteobacteria; Oceanospirillales; Halomonadaceae
Description: partial 16S ribosomal RNA
Rfam family: Bacterial small subunit ribosomal RNA
Source: RNAcentral
CCUACGGGCGGCAGCAGUGGGGAAUAUUGGACAAUGGGGGGAACCCUGAUCCAGCCAUGCCGCGUGUGUGAAGAAGGCCCUCGGGUUGUAAAGCACUUUCAGUGAGGAAGAACGCCUGGUGGUUAAUACCCAUCAGGAAAGACAUCACUCACAGAAGAAGCACCGGCUAACUCCGUGCCAGCAGCCGCGGUAAUACGGAGGGUGCGAGCGUUAAUCGGAAUUACUGGGCGUAAAGCGCGCGUAGGUGGCUUGAUAAGCCGGUUGUGAAAGCCCCGGGCUCAACCUGGGAACGGCAUCCGGAACUGUCAAGCUAGAGUGCAGGAGAGGAAGGUAGAAUUCCCGGUGUAGCGGUGAAAUGCGUAGAGAUCGGGAGGAAUACCAGUGGCGAAGGCGGCCUUCUGGACUGACACUGACAUUGAGGUGCGAAAGCGUGGGUAGCAAACAGGAUUAGAUACCCUAGUAGUC